UACGAAGGGGGCUAGCGUUUCUCGGAAUCCCUGGGCGUAAAGGGUGCGUAGGCGGGUCUUUAAGGUCGGGGUGAAAUCCUGGAGCUCAACUCCAGAACUGCCUUUGAUACUGAAGAUCUUGAGUUCGGGAGAGGUGAGUGGAACUGCGAGUGUAGAGGUGAAAUUCGUAGAUAUUCGCAAGAACACCAGUGGCGAAGGCGGCUCACUGGUCCGGUACUGACGCUGAGGUGCGAAAGCGUGGGGAGCAAACAGG
This 253-nucleotide ribosomal RNA is filed under the name uncultured bacterium. RNAcentral's name for it is "partial 16S ribosomal RNA". It matches the Rfam family "Bacterial small subunit ribosomal RNA", at positions 524 to 776 of the family's 1533-position model. The record is from RNAcentral.